UCUUCUCCCUCUGACUCGCAAUCGAAGCACCGUUUGGAGACAGCCCUCAAAUUUUCCAGAGAAGAGAAGUGGAAGUUGAUACCUAGAGGUUCUGAAUUAUAGUACCUUGUUCCUGUCUUGGCCUCCUUGGAGAAUAUAAGUUCCUUGAAAGCAGAGAUUUUGUCUGACUUGAUGACUGCCAUCCCCCCAGGACGCAGAACAGGGGCCAGGUCACGCUCAGGAUUUGAGCUGUAUCGAAAUCCACGCUCUGCCACCCAACGGCUGUGACCGUGAACAAGUUAUUUAACUGCUCUGAGGCUGGUUUCCUCAUCUACAAAAUGGCAACGAUUUUUACUGUGCAAGUUUCUGAUGAGGAUUAAAAGAGAUGAUGCAUGUGCCACACGUGUUAUUAAACUAAAAAAUACCACUGACAGAUUUCCAGAGGAGCAAUUUUGACCAAAAUUUGCCGAUUUCCUUUCCUCUCUCUGAGGAUCUGUGUGGUAUAAAGAGGAAGGGCAAGAAGAAGGAAAAAUGGACUCAAAGAAGGAUUAAGA
Molecule: long non-coding RNA, 533 nt
Filed under: Equus asinus (donkey)
Lineage: Eukaryota; Metazoa; Chordata; Mammalia; Perissodactyla; Equidae
Description: lncRNA (ENSEASG00005031963.1)
Source: RNAcentral